This 450-nucleotide ribosomal RNA is filed under the name uncultured bacterium. RNAcentral's name for it is "partial 16S ribosomal RNA". It matches the Rfam family "Bacterial small subunit ribosomal RNA", at positions 338 to 795 of the family's 1533-position model. The record is from RNAcentral.
CCUACGGGGGGCUGCAGUAAGGAAUAUUGGUCAAUGGACGCAAGUCUGAACCAGCCAUGCCGCGUGGAGGAUUAAGGCCCUCUGGGUUGUAAACUCCUUUUAUCUGGGAAGAACUGUACUUUUUCUUGAGUACUUGACGGUACCAAAGGAAUAAGCACCGGCUAACUCCGUGCCAGCAGCCGCGGUAAUACGGAGGGUGCAAGCGUUACCCGGAUUCACUGGGUUGUAGGUGUGCAUAUAUGUCAGUGUAGAAGUCUCCGUGCUUAACCCGGAAACUGCCGUUGAUACUAUUUGUCUUGAAUAUUGUGGAGGUAAGCGGAAUAUGUCAUGUAGCGGUGAAAUGCUUAGAUAUGACAUAGAACACCAAUUGCGAAGGCAGCUUACUACACAAUCAUUGACGCUGAGGCACGAAAGCGUGGGGAUCAAACAGGAUUAGAUACCCCAGUAGUC